AGUGAACGCUGGCGGCGGGCCUAAUACAUGCAAGUCGAACGAACAGACAGUAAGCGUUCGCCUCUAACGUUAGCGGCUGGCGGGUGAGUAACACGUAGAUAACCUUCCUAUAAUACGUGGGGAACUUCGUGGAGCCGGAUCUAAUACCAGAUAAUAUGUUCAACCGCAUGAUUCAAUAGUUAAACGCAGCUUGCCUGUCACUUUGAGAUGGAGCCGCGCCGGAUUAGCUAGUUGGUAAGGUAACGGCCUACCAAGGCAACGAUGCGUAGCUGACCUGAGAGGGUGAUCGGCCACACUGGAACUGAGACACGGUCCAGACUCCUACGGGAGGCAGCAGUAGGGAAUAUUGGGCAAUGGGCGCAAGCCUGACGGAGCCACGCCGCGUGAGUGAUGAAGGUCUUCGGAUCGUAAAACCCUUUUAUUAGGGAAGAACAACUGUGGAAGUAACUCUGCACGUCUUGACGGUACCCAAUCAGAAAGCAACGGCUAACUACGUG
Molecule: ribosomal RNA, 497 nt
Filed under: uncultured bacterium
Lineage: Bacteria
Description: partial 16S ribosomal RNA
Rfam family: Bacterial small subunit ribosomal RNA
Source: RNAcentral